GACGGAGGGUGCGAGCGUUAAUCGGAAUUACUGGGCGUAAAGCGCAUGCAGGUGGUUCGCUAAGUCAGAUGUGAAAGCCCGGGGCUCAACCUCGGAACUGCAUUUGAAACUGGCGGACUAGAGUACUGUAGAGGGGGGUAGAAUUUCAGGUGUAGCGGUGAAAUGCGUAGAGAUCUGAAGGAAUACCGGUGGCGAAGGCGGCCCCCUGGACAAAGACUGACGCUCAGAUGCGAAAGCGUGGGGAGCAAACAGG
RNAcentral lists this ribosomal RNA (253 nucleotides) under uncultured bacterium. RNAcentral describes it as "partial 16S ribosomal RNA". It matches the Rfam family "Bacterial small subunit ribosomal RNA", at positions 524 to 776 of the family's 1533-position model. The record is from RNAcentral.